Molecule: transfer RNA, 64 nt
Filed under: marine eukaryotic metagenome
Rfam family: tRNA
About the family: Transfer RNA (tRNA) molecules are approximately 80 nucleotides in length. Their secondary structure includes four short double-helical elements and three loops (D, anti-codon, and T loops).
Source: RNAcentral
GGGUAGCUCAGUUGGUAGAGCAGCGGAUUGAAAAUCCGCGUGUCGGUGGUUCGAUUCCGCCCCC